Molecule: ribosomal RNA, 274 nt
Filed under: uncultured bacterium
Lineage: Bacteria
Description: partial 16S ribosomal RNA
Rfam family: Bacterial small subunit ribosomal RNA
Source: RNAcentral
AUACGGAGGGUGCAAGCGUUACUCGGAAUCACUGGGCGUAAAGCGCGCGCAGGCGGCUAUUUAAGUUGGAUGUGAAAGCCUACGGCUCAACCGUAGAACUGCAUCCAAAACUAUUUAGCUAGAGUGUGGGAGAGGAAGAUGGAAUUAGUCGUGUAGGGGUAAAAUCCGUAGAGAUAACUAGGAAUACCAAAAGCGAAGGCAAUCUUCUGGAACACUACUGACGCUGAGGCGCGAAGGCGUGGGGAGCAAACAGGAGUAGAAACCCCUGUAGUCC